AUGAUGAGACUGCCGAAUUCUCGGACACAGCCGAGAAGCGGGGGAACCAAUUAGUACUGGGUGAAUUGAUCUCGCCUGAAGCAGAGAUCAUAGGGAACCUUCAACCGAACCCUCCAGCUAACCUCGCAGGCACGGAAGGAGAACAU
RNAcentral lists this small RNA (146 nucleotides) under Paenibacillus sp. Its description in RNAcentral is "c-di-AMP sequence". It matches the Rfam family "c-di-AMP riboswitch aptamer (ydaO/yuaA leader)". From Rfam's summary of the family: This family represents a conserved RNA structure found upstream of the ydaO and yuaA genes in Bacillus subtilis and related genes in other bacteria. The ydaO/yuaA element is thought to act as a genetic "off" switch for the ydaO and yuaA genes in its native state. It is believed that the element may be triggered during osmotic shock leading to activation of ydaO, a predicted amino acid transporter gene, and members of the yuaA-yubG operon which code for KtrA and KtrB K+ transporters. Lineage: Bacteria; Bacillati; Bacillota; Bacilli; Caryophanales; Paenibacillaceae. The record is from RNAcentral. RNAcentral also lists the same sequence under 1 other name.